GACGAACGCUGGCGGCGUGCUUAACACAUGCAAGUCGAACGGAAAGGCCCUGCUUUUGUGGGGUGCUCGAGUGGCGAACGGGUGAGUAACACGUGAGUAACCUGCCCUUGACUUUGGGAUAACUUCAGGAAACUGGGGCUAAUACCGGAUAGGAGCUCCUGCUGCAUGGUGGGGGUUGGAAAGUUUCGGCGGUUGGGGAUGGACUCGCGGCUUAUCAGCUUGUUGGUGGGGUAGUGGCUUACCAAGGCUUUGACGGGUAGCCGGCCUGAGAGGGUGACCGGCCACAUUGGGACUGAGGUACCGCCCAGACUCCUACGGGGGGCAGCAGGGGGGAAUAUUGCACAAUGGGGCGAAGCCUGAUGCAGCAACGCCGCGUGCGGGAUGACGGCCUUCGGGUUGUAAACCGCUUUCGCCUGUGACGAAGCGUGAGUGACGGUAAUGGGUAAAGAAGCACCGGCUAAUUACGUG
RNAcentral lists this ribosomal RNA (468 nucleotides) under uncultured bacterium. Its description in RNAcentral is "partial 16S ribosomal RNA". It matches the Rfam family "Bacterial small subunit ribosomal RNA", at positions 28 to 507 of the family's 1533-position model. The record is from RNAcentral.